CCUAUCUGGUUGAUCCUGCCAGUAGUUAUAUGCUUGUUUCAAAGACUAAGCCAUGCAUGCCUAAGUCCAGCUCGGCCCGGAGGAGUGAGCAAUCUCUCUCGAGGGCUGGGCGAAACCGCGGACGGCUCAUUAAAUCAGUUGUGGUCCGAAUGGGCUCCAGUUAUCAAUGGAUAACUGUGGUAAUUCCAGAGCUAAUACAUGCAAUUUAGAUCCCAAGCGUGGCAUUCAGUCGUGGGUGUACGCCCUCGAUUGCGUGUUUUCGCUCCGGANGCUUUUAUUAGACCAAGAGGUGCACCCUAGCAGUAGGGCUUGUGCGGGAGCUUUUGCGUGUGAGUACGCGCAUGCAGUGUHUCUUCGGGGACGCUGUGUGUGUGUGUUUGUGCGUGGGAGUGACUGUGCUCGUCUAGGCACGCUGCUAGUGGGGCAUAUAGCUUCGAAGGUGACUCUGGAUAACCGAUAAGCGAGCGCACCUUUGUGUGCGCGCGCUGCCACUUUCGAGUGACUGCCUUAUCAGCUAUAUAACGUUUGUUACAAGCAAACGUUGGCUAUGACGGGUAACGGGGAAUCAGGGUUCGAUUCCGGAGAGGCAGCCUGAGAAACGGCUACCACGUCCAAGGACGGCAGCAGGCACGUAAAUUACCCAAUCCCAGUAUCUGGGGGAGGUAGUAACGAAACAUACUGAUGCGAGCGCUUCUUCGGAGGCCCCGCAAUCAGAAUGGGUAUUUUCUAAAGACCCUAUCGAGAACCUACUGAAGGGCAAGUCUGGUGCCAGCAGCCGCGGUAAUUCCAGCUUCAGUAGCGUAUGCUAAAGUUGCUGCGGUUUAAAGGCUCGCAGUUGAAUGUCUGUUAUCGGGCGGAGAAUUGGGUUUCUAGACGUUGGUUCGCAUAGAGGAGGGAGGCGUGUUUCCUGACUGUGUAGCUGGCGUUCACACCCUGUGUGCAUUAGCGCGAUCUGGGUGUCGACACGUCUGUGAAAGGUUUGGUUCUCGCCUUCCGUUCGUACUCGUGCGUUCCCGUCUUAAUCGUAUGAGCCCUCCCGCUCGGUGGCUAUACACGCGUAUGCGUGCGAGCGCCCGGCGCUCGUGCAAGUACGUGUUGUCACCUUGAGUAAAUCAGAGUGCUCAAAGCAGUCGGUGGAAUUCGAUUUCACACCCGUGUGGGAUCGAUGGAAAGCGAUUGGCUUUGCUUUGCAUGGCACGUCGGAAGACGCCGCUUCUCGUUGGUCCAAUUUAUGCUGUAUGCUCUCAGCGUCUACGACGCGAGGUGUACUCGCCAACGAGAGCGGAAUGAGCUAAAAGGAACGGUCGAGGGCAUUGGUAUUGCGCGGCGAGAGGUGAAAUUCUAUGACCCCCGCAAGACCUCCAGAAGCGAAAGCGUCUGCCAAGGACGUUUUCAUUAAUCAUGAACGAAAGUUAGAGGAUCGAAGGCGAUCAGAUACCGCCCUAGUUUUAACCGUAAACGAUACCAACCAUCAAUCCGUGCGUAGCACCCUCGUGUCGCGGGGAGGCGACACACUUCGGUGUGCCACUCCUUUGGGAUACAGUGCGGGCUCGGCGGGCAGCUCCUGUCACGGGAAACCAGAGUCUCUGGGUUCCGGGGGGAGUCUGGUUGCAAAGCUGAAACUUAAAGGAAUUGACGGAAAGGCACCACCAGGCGUGGAGCUUGCGGCUCAAUUUGACUCAACACGGGAAAACUUACCAGGACAUCACGCUUGGGUGACUGACAGAUUGAAAGCUCUUUCUCGAUUAAGUGGAUGGUGGUGCAUGGCCGUUCUUAGUUGGUGGAGUGAUUUGUCUGGCUAAUCCCGAUAACGAACGAGACUCUAUCCUACUAAGCGGCAAGGCUAUUAGACGACUGGAUCCUUGACUCCUAAGAAUGUGUGUAAAAACCGUUAGGGAGAGGGACAACGCGUAGAAGAGACUUUUAAAGCCUCUACAUCGCUGCCUCUUCUAUCGAGCACACACAAGUCCGUCGUGGCUGCGCGUGAGAGCUCGGGGGACUUCGUGUCUUGCGGCUGCGGGGGUGCACCUAGUUCGGAGAAGUACCACGCUCUUUCUUUCGAGUUUGAGCGGGAAUGGACACUGAUUUAGUGUGCUUAAGCUCCCGUUGUUCAGCGGCGAUUUCUGGCUCGUUCUUUUGCGCGUAGACAAACAUUGUUUCUUCUUAGAGGCAUUUACGACUCAACACAAGUCGUACGAGACAGAGAGCAAUAACAGGUCUGUGAUGCCCUUAGAUGCCCUGGGCCGCACGCGAGCUACACUGCCGGGUACAGCGGGUGUUUACCUCCUUCUCCGAGAGGAGCAGGUAACCCUGUGAAAGCCCUUUCGAUAUUCGAUCGCGAGUAUCAUGGCUCGAUGGGGCCUGGGGCUUCUCUCCCGUGUUGUUGCAAUUAUCUCCCACAAACGAGGAAUGCCUAGUAUCGGCUAGUCACUGAGCUUGCAGCGACUCAGUCCCUGCCCUUUGUACACACCGCCCGUCGCUACUACCGAUUGAGUGUACCAGUGAGAUUCUUGGACUGGCGAACCUUUUUUCGCAUGCGAGAGAAGGCGAACGACGGAAAGAGACUCGAACUGGUGCACUUAGAGGAAGUAAAAGUCGUAACAAGGUUUCCGUAGGUGAACUGCGGAAGGAUCAUUA
This 2637-nucleotide ribosomal RNA is filed under the name Leucothoe spinicarpa. RNAcentral's name for it is "18S ribosomal RNA". It matches the Rfam family "Eukaryotic small subunit ribosomal RNA". The record is from RNAcentral. Lineage: Eukaryota; Metazoa; Arthropoda; Malacostraca; Amphipoda; Leucothoidae.